CUGGGCGUAAGGGUGAGUAGGCGGCCAAAUAAGCCAGAGGUGAAAGGCUAGGGCUUAACCCUAGUAAGCCUAUGGAACUGUAUGGCUUGAGUGCAGGAGAGGAGAGUGGAAUUCCUAGUGUAGCGGUGAAAUGCGUAGAUAUUAGGAGGAACACCAGUGGCGAAGGCGACUCUCUGGACUGCAACUGACGCUGAGGCACGAAAGCGUGGGGAGCAAACAGGAUUAGAUACCCUGGUAGUCCACGCCGUAAACGAUGAGUGCUAGGUGUCGGGGGUUCACACCCUCGGUGCCGGAGUUAACGCAUUAAGCACUCCGCCUGGGGAGUACGGUCGCAAGACUGAAACUCAAAGGAAUUGACGGGGACCCGCACAAGCAGCGGAGCAUGUGGUUUAAUUCGAAGCAACGCGAAGAACCUUACCAGGGCUUGACAUCCCUCUGGCGUAGGAGUAAAAUUCUAUUUCCCUUAGGGGACAGAGGAGACAGGUGGUGCAUGGUUGUCGUCAGCUCGUGUCGUGAGAUGUUGGGUUAAGUCCCGCAACGAGCGCAACCCUUAUCUUUAGUUGCCAGCAUGUAAAGAUGGGAACUCUAGAGAGACUGCCGGUGAUAAACCGGAGGAAGGUGGGGAUGACGUCAAAUCAUCAUGCCCCUUAUGUUCUGGGCUACACACGUGCUACAAUGGCUGGUACAGAGGGAGGCUAAGGAGUAAUCUGGAGCGAAUCCCAAAAAGCCAGUCCCAGUUCGGAUUGGGGGCUGAAACUCGCCCCCAUGAAGUUGGAGUUGCUAGUAAUCGUGAAUCAGAAUGUCACGGUGAAUGCGUUCCCGGGUCUUGUACACACCGCCCGUCACACCAUGGGAGUUGGGGGCACCCGAAGUCAGCGGACUAACCGAAAGGAAGUAGCUGCCGAAAGGUGAAAUCAAUGACUGGGGUGAAGUCGUAACAAGGUAGCCAUCUUUCUAGAANAUCUC
This 966-nucleotide ribosomal RNA is filed under the name uncultured Bacillota bacterium. RNAcentral's name for it is "bacterial SSU rRNA". It matches the Rfam family "Bacterial small subunit ribosomal RNA", at positions 554 to 1529 of the family's 1533-position model. The record is from RNAcentral. Lineage: Bacteria; Bacillati; Bacillota.